Molecule: ribosomal RNA, 253 nt
Filed under: uncultured prokaryote
Description: partial 16S ribosomal RNA
Rfam family: Bacterial small subunit ribosomal RNA
Source: RNAcentral
ACGUAGGGGGCGAACGUUAUUCGGAAUCACUGGGCUUAAAGGGCGCGUAGGCGGGCCGGCAAGUCAGGGGUGAAAGCCCCCAGCUCAACUGGGGAAGUGCCUCUGAUACUGCCGGCCUCGAGGGAGGUAGGGGCGUGCGGAACUUCCGGUGGAGCGGUGAAAUGCGUAGAUAUCGGAAGGAACGUCGGUGGCGAAAGCGGCGCGCUGGACCUCUUCUGACGCUGAGGCGCGAAAGCCAGGGGAGCAAACGGGA